This 224-nucleotide ribosomal RNA is filed under the name uncultured bacterium. Its description in RNAcentral is "partial 16S ribosomal RNA". It matches the Rfam family "Bacterial small subunit ribosomal RNA", at positions 943 to 1167 of the family's 1533-position model. The record is from RNAcentral.
GGUUUAAUUCGAUGAUACGCGAGGAACCUUAGCCGGGCUUGAAUUGCAGAGGAAGGAUUUGGAGACAAUGACGCCCUUCGGGGCCUCUGUGAAGGUGCUGCAUGGUUGUCGUCAGCUCGUGCCGUGAGGUGUCGGCUUAAGUGCCAUAACGAGCGCAACCCCUCUCCUUAGUUGCCAUCAGGUCAUGCUGGGCACUCUGGGGACACUGCCACCGUAAGGUGUGA